UACGCUCACAUCAUACUGAAACAGCGGUUUCCAUACGAUCAGCAAAGUUAAGCAACGUCGAGCCUGGUCAGUACCUAGAUGGGUGACCACUUCGGAAUACCAAAUAUUGCAA
Molecule: non-coding RNA, 112 nt
Organism: Acanthosepion pharaonis
Lineage: Eukaryota; Metazoa; Mollusca; Cephalopoda; Sepiida; Sepiidae
Source: the annotation of a GenBank genome assembly